Molecule: microRNA, 22 nt
Filed under: Gallus gallus (chicken)
Lineage: Eukaryota; Metazoa; Chordata; Aves; Galliformes; Phasianidae
Description: gga-miR-1553-3p
Source: miRBase by way of RNAcentral
UGUGGUGGGAGGACAGUGAUGU